UGCCUAUGUGUAGCUAGUGUCACUGGGUGUU
RNAcentral lists this non-coding RNA (31 nucleotides) under Rattus norvegicus (Norway rat). The record is from RNAcentral. Lineage: Eukaryota; Metazoa; Chordata; Mammalia; Rodentia; Muridae.